ACCUACUGUUUAAUUUUGAGGGUUCGUUUUUGCGAAUACUCAAAGUUAGCACUUUGAAAACUGCAUAUAUAUUUAGUGAUAUGACAUCUAAUUUGUAAUAUAUAAAGCUGAUAACUUUUUAAAAUUAUCGAAGUUGAUAGCUUCUAAUCUAUCAAACCUUUUUAACCGGUCAA
Molecule: unclassified non-coding RNA, 173 nt
Filed under: Clostridioides difficile
Lineage: Bacteria; Bacillati; Bacillota; Clostridia; Peptostreptococcales; Peptostreptococcaceae
Description: 16S-23S ribosomal RNA intergenic spacer (ISR)
Source: RNAcentral